AUUCGACCUCAAAUCAGGUAGGACUACCCGCUGAACUUAAGCAUAUCAAUAAGGGGUAA
This 59-nucleotide ribosomal RNA is filed under the name Lodderomyces parapsilosis. Its description in RNAcentral is "Candida parapsilosis partial 28S ribosomal RNA". The record is from RNAcentral. Lineage: Eukaryota; Fungi; Ascomycota; Pichiomycetes; Serinales; Debaryomycetaceae.